Molecule: long non-coding RNA, 652 nt
Filed under: Androctonus crassicauda
Lineage: Eukaryota; Metazoa; Arthropoda; Arachnida; Scorpiones; Buthidae
Source: RNAcentral
UUAGCGAGCAACUCUGCAUGCAUGUCAAGUAUAUACCUGCUCAAAUGCUCAUCGUAUGUUUCUUUGUCUAGUAGCACAACCUUCUUGGAUUUGUCGUCUCUGGUUAUGGUUACUUUAUUUUCUUGCAUCCAUCUGUGCACUUUCUUAAGAAGCAUCUGUUCUUUAUUACCUGCUGCAUCUGACUUCUGCUCCAAUUUCUAUGGCUCAUAACUUCCUCCAUGAAUUUCCACCUAUACCUUUCUUUGUCCAGAUCAUGCAUGCUUCCCAAUAUUCGCUCAAACAGGGGUAUGAGGUCCUCAAAGCAUUUAAUGUUUCUUAUGGCACAGGAGGGGCCUAGUUUAAGAACUUGCUCGACAUACUCUGGUGGUUCUAAGUUCCCUACAACAAUUGCUACAUCCUCUAGUUCUAUCUUCUGCCUAUUAUGGGUCUGUCUAAGUUGAGUCUUUAGCAACCAUUUCAAUUUCUUAAUGUGGUCCGUUCUAAGCUUUCUCUUUAUCUUAACCAUAUCAGCCUCACAAACUUCUACUAUAUAAUCAUAGUUAGGUAGGUUUAGUUCUUCUAUUCUAGCUACUGUAAUGGUCUUGUCUCUUCUUAGGGCGUAAACCCUCCUCUUACUUUCUGUAAUUGCCGUUUUUAAGCAAAUCUUCCUUGU